UGGCUGUCGUCAGCUCGUGUCGUGAGAUGUUGGGUUAAGUCCGUAACGAGCGCAACCCUUGUCCUUAGUUACCAGCACGUUAUGGUGGGCACUCUAAGGAGACUGCCGGUGACAAACCGGACGGAAAGGUGGGGAGUGACGUCAAGUCAUCAUGGCCCUUACGGCCUGGGCUACACACGUGCUACAAUGGUCGGUACAAAGGGUUGCCAAGCCGCGAGGUGGGGCUAAUCCCAUAAAACCGAUCGUAGUCCGGAUCGCAGUCUGCAACUCGACUGCGUGAAGUCGGAAUCGCUAGUAAUCGUGAAUCAGAAUGUCACGGUGAAUACGUUCCCGGGCCUU
RNAcentral lists this ribosomal RNA (339 nucleotides) under uncultured Pseudomonas sp. Its description in RNAcentral is "bacterial SSU rRNA". It matches the Rfam family "Bacterial small subunit ribosomal RNA", at positions 1046 to 1382 of the family's 1533-position model. Lineage: Bacteria; Pseudomonadati; Pseudomonadota; Gammaproteobacteria; Pseudomonadales; Pseudomonadaceae. The record is from RNAcentral.